Molecule: unclassified non-coding RNA, 1208 nt
Filed under: Monomorium pharaonis (pharaoh ant)
Lineage: Eukaryota; Metazoa; Arthropoda; Insecta; Hymenoptera; Formicidae
Description: uBX domain-containing protein 1, transcript variant X1
Source: RNAcentral
GACUCGUGCGAUUCAAGCUUGCGUCGGAGUUCGGAGUAUAAGUAGCGCGUCGAUUCGACGUGACAUUUAACUUUUGUACGGCGGUGUCCGAAAGGACUUGAAAGGAUUUUCUUUUAGGGUACAGUCGCCAAGCGUGGCAACAAACAGCGCAAAAUGUCGUCGGGCGUGAUAGACAUCCUCGUGGACAUGGGUUUCAGUAUGUCCAAAGCUGAAAAGGCUCUGGAGAUCACCGGUAACAAAGGUGUGGAGCCGGCGAUGGAAUGGCUGCUGGCCCAUUCCGACGAGGCGGAACCCGCGCCAGAACCCUCCGUAGGCGAGAGUGCUCCGGCGCUAGCUACCGACACGCAGGACAGCGUCGCCGGAGCUAGCAGUCAACCGGUAUCCACUACUGAAACGGCCAAAUCUAUGAAGUGCGACGUAUGUGGAAAACUCUUUAAAUCUAACUUAGAAGUUGAGUUCCAUGCUACAAAGUCUGGGCAUGAUAGAUUUUCUGAAAGCACAGAGGAGAAAAAGCCACUUACUGAAGAGGAGAAGCGGGAGCAAUUAAAGAUGCUAGAAGAAAAGUUGAAGCAGAAAAGGAAGGAGAGAGAAGAACAGGAAAAGAAAGAUGCAUUUGAAAGAGAAAAGAAUAGGAUACGAUCAGGAAAGGAAAUGUCUGAAGCCAGAAAAAAAUUAGAAGAGUUGGAGAUGCAGAAGCUUCUGGAGCAAAGAAAACGAGAGAAAGCAGAGGAAAAGGAAGCAAAACAGAGAGUUCGAGCGCAAAUUGAAGCCGAUAAAGCAGCGCGACGAGCUAAAGCGGCUGCUGAAAGCAGUCAACCAGUUAAUACCACUUUGGCCCCAUUAUCCGUAACAUCUUCGUCCACGUCUACGCAUCAUAGGAAGGAUUACACCGAGACUAGGCUUCAAGCUUACCAAUGGCCAAACCUUGACACAAAGCUUCGGAAGCAAGGAACAAUUAUCCGCGGUGAGACUGUUUAUUGAAAUGAACAGGACAGACGGUAACGAUCCCUUCCAGCUAAUGACAACAUUUCCCAAGAAGGUAUUUACAGAUGAGGAUUACGAUACGCCAUUGGAUGUAUUAGGCCUAGUACCCUCAGCAGUCGUGAUCGUUCAAAAGAAGAUGGAAUGAUGUAGCCAGUAAUGCCCUAAUUUGUAAGCAAAAAUAUUAAUGUAUAUUAUACAGAUUAAUUAUAAGACAUUCACUCUAA